Molecule: ribosomal RNA, 292 nt
Filed under: uncultured bacterium
Lineage: Bacteria
Description: partial 16S ribosomal RNA
Rfam family: Bacterial small subunit ribosomal RNA
Source: RNAcentral
GUGUCAGCCGCCGCGGUAAGACGAACCGUGCAAACGUUGUUCGGAAUCACUGGGCUUAAAGGGCGCGUAGGCGGACUCGCCAGUCUGUGGUGAAAGCCCCCAGCUCAACUGGGGAAGGGCCUUGGAUACUGCGAGUCUGGAGGAGGGUAGGGGCGUCUGGAACGCUGGGUGGAGCGGUGAAAUGCGUUGAUAUCCAGCGGAACUCCGGUGGCGAAGGCGAGGCGCUGGACCCUUUCUGACGCUGAGGCACGAAGGUCAGGGGAGCAAACGGGAUUAGAUACCCCCGUAGUCC